RNAcentral lists this ribosomal RNA (916 nucleotides) under archaeon enrichment culture clone EAr-c17. Its description in RNAcentral is "bacterial SSU rRNA". It matches the Rfam family "Archaeal small subunit ribosomal RNA", at positions 1 to 922 of the family's 1478-position model. The record is from RNAcentral.
UUCCGGUUGAUCCUGCCGGAGGCUACUGCUAUCGGGGUCCGACUAAGCCAUGCAAGUUGAGAGGGAUAAGCCCUCGGCAUAUUGCUCAGUAACACGCGGAUAACCUGCCCUUGGGUUUGGGAUAACCCCGGGAAACUGGGACUAAUACCGGAUAGAUCAAAGAAACUGAAAUGUUCUCUGAUCGAAAGCUCCGGCGCCCAAGGAUGGGUCUGCGGCCUAUCAGGUAGUAGUGGGUGUAACGUACCUACUAGCCUACGACAGGUAAGGGUUGUAAGAGCAAGAGCCCUGAGAUAGAUUCUGAGACAUGAAUCCAGGCCCUACGGGGUGCAGCAGGCGCGAAAACUUUACACUGCGGGAAACCGCGAUAAGGGGACCCCGAGUGCCAGCACCUAGUGCUGGCUGUCCAGCUGUUCAAAUAACAGUUGUUAGCAAGGGCCGGGCAAGACCGAUGCCAGCCGCCGCGGUAACACCGGCGGCCCGAGUGGUAGCCGUUAUUAUUGGGUUUAAAGGGUCCGUAGCCGGCCUAUUAAGUCUCUUGGGAAAUCUGGCGACUCAAUCGUCAGGCAUUCAAGAGAUACUGGUAGACUUGGGACCGGGAGAGGUGGGAGGUACUCCAGGGGUAGGGGUGAAAUCUCGUAAUCCUUGGGGGACCACCGAUGGCAAAGGCAUCCCACCAGAACGGAUCCGACAAUGAGAAACGAAAGCUGGGGGCACGAACCGGAUUAGAUACCCGGGUAGUCCCAGCCAUAAACGAUACUCGCUAGGUGUCAGGUGCGGUGCGACCGCAUCUGGUGCCGCAGUGAAAACUUGAAGCGAGUCACCUGGGAAGUACAGUCGCAAGGCUGAAACUUAAAGGAAUUGGCAGGGGAGCACUACAACGGGUGGAGCCUACGGUUCAAUUGGAUUCAACGCCGGG